CCCACUCGCACUAUCAUUUUCCAUGUUCAAUGGACCGUGAAAUUGUGUAAAAAAUAUAAUUUGGCAUUAAAAUUAGAAAAAUCAUACCAUAGGGAACAUGUGUACUAAGUUUCAAGUUGUUUGGACUUUAACUUCAUCAAAAACAACCUUGACCAAAAACUUUAACCUGAAACUCGCACUUUCAUUUUCUAUGUUCAGUGGACCG
RNAcentral lists this long non-coding RNA (205 nucleotides) under Mytilus galloprovincialis (Mediterranean mussel). Lineage: Eukaryota; Metazoa; Mollusca; Bivalvia; Mytilida; Mytilidae. The record is from RNAcentral.